Molecule: ribosomal RNA, 1211 nt
Filed under: metagenome
Description: SSU rRNA
Rfam family: Eukaryotic small subunit ribosomal RNA
Source: RNAcentral
UGCCAGCAGCCGCGGUAAUUCCAGCUCCAGUAGCGUAUAUUAAAGUUGUUGCAGUUAAAAGCUCGUAGUUGGAUCUCAGGAUUUGGAUGGAUGGUUCGCUUUCGGGCGCUACUAUCUGUCUGACCUACUCUAGUCGUGGAUGCCUUGGGUGCUCUUAAUUGAGUGCUUUUGGUGCCCGACGCAAUUACUUUGAAAGAAUUAGAGUGCUCAAAGCAGGCGUAUUGCCUGAAUAGUGUUGCAUGGAAUAAUGAAAUAGGAGUUUACUUCUAUUUUGUUGGUUUUCGGAGGUGAACUAAUGAUUAACAGGGACAGACGGGGGCAUUUGUAUGGAGGGGUUAGAGGUGAAAUUCUUGGAUCCUCUCCAGACAAACUACUGCGAAAGCAUUUGCCAGGAAUGUUUUCACUAAUCAAGAACGAAAGUCAGAGGUUCGAAGACGAUCAGAUACCGUCCUAGUUCUGACCAUAAAUGAUGCCAUCUAACAAUCCACGAAGUUUGCUUGUACGAACUCGUGGGCGGUCCCCGGGAAACCAAAGAUUUUGGGUUCCGGGGGAAGUAUGGUUGCAAAGCUGAAACUUAAAGGAAUUGACGGAAGGGCACCACCAGGAGUGGAGCCUGCGGCUUAAUUUGACAACACGGGAAACCUCACCCGGCCCGGACACUUUUAGGAUUGACAGAUUGAAGGCUCUUUCUUGAUCAAGUGGUUGGUGGUGCAUGGCCGUUCUUAGUUGGUGGAGCGAUUUGUCUGGUUAAUUCCGAUAACGAACGAGACUCUACUCUGCUAAAUAGAACGUUGAUAUAUAAAAGUCAGUGCUGACUUCUUAGAGAGACUAACGGCGUUUAGCCGUGUGAGAAAGAGCAAUAACAGGUCUGUGAUGCCCUUAGAUGUCCGGGGCCGCACGCGCGCUACACUGACUGCAGCAACUAGUAUGCUCCUGGUUUGAAAAAACUGGGUAACCUGGUUGAAUUGCAGGCGUGACAGGGAUCAGAGUUUGCAAUUAUCCUCUGUGAACGAGGAAUUCCCAGUAAGCGCAAGUCAUUAGCUUGUGCUGAUUACGUCCCUGCCCUUUGUACACACCGCCCGUCGCUACUACCGAUUGAAUGGUUUAGUGAGGUCUUCGGAUUGGUGCUGAUGGAGUGGUUCUCUGCUCUGUUAGUGCCGAGAAGAUGAUCAAACUUGAUCAUUUAGAGGAAGUAAAAGUCGUAACAAGGU